GCUUUGUAUAGGAGAGACGGUUGGCAUCUCCCUUGACAGGGACGGGAACAGCUUUCGGGCUUUCCUUCAUUACAUUGCGGUUAAGGCUACCCGCUUCGGCGGAUCUUACCCAAAUUUUAA
RNAcentral lists this non-coding RNA (120 nucleotides) under Oryza sativa Indica Group (long-grained rice). The record is from RNAcentral. Lineage: Eukaryota; Viridiplantae; Streptophyta; Magnoliopsida; Poales; Poaceae.